UGGCUCAGAACGAACGCUGGCGGCAGGCCUAACACAUGCAAGUCGAACGCUCCGCAAGGGGAGUGGCAGACGGGUGAGUAACACGUGGGAACCUUCCCAUCGCUACGGAAUAACUCAGGGAAACUUGGGGUAAUACCGUAUACGCCCGAAAGGGGAAAGAUUUAUCGGCGAUGGAUGGGCCCGCGGCUGAUUAGCUAGUUGGUGAGGUAACGGCUCACCAAGGCGACGAUCAGUAGCUGGUCUGAGAGGACGACCAGCCACACUGGGACUGAGACACGGCCCAGACUCCUACGGGAGGCAGCAGUGGGAAUAUUGGACAAUGGGCGCAAGCCUGAUCCAGCCAUGCCGCGUGAGUGACGAAGGUCUUCGGAUUGUAAAGCUCUUUUGGCGGGGACGAUAAUGACGGUACCCGCAGAAUAAGCCCCGGCUAACUUCGUG
RNAcentral lists this ribosomal RNA (438 nucleotides) under uncultured bacterium. Its description in RNAcentral is "bacterial SSU rRNA". It matches the Rfam family "Bacterial small subunit ribosomal RNA", at positions 20 to 507 of the family's 1533-position model. The record is from RNAcentral.